UUUGAUCAUGGCUCAGAUUGAACGCUGGCGGCAGGCCUAACACAUGCAAGUCGAACGGUAACAGGAAGCAGCUUGCUGCUUCGCUGACGAGUGGCGGACGGGUGAGUAAUGUCUGGGAAACUGCCUGAUGGAGGGGGAUAACUACUGGAAACGGUAGCUAAUACCGCAUAAUGUCGCAGGACCAAAGAGGGGGACCUUCGGGCCUCUUGCCAUCAGAUGUGCCCAGAUGGGAUUAGCUUGUUGGUGAGGUAACGGCUCACCAAGGCGACGAUCCCUAGCUGGUCUGAGAGGAUGACCAGCCACACUGGAACUGAGACACGGUCCAGACUCCUACGGGAGGCAGCAGUGGGGAAUAUUGCACAAUGGGCGCAAGCCUGAUGCAGCCAUGCCGCGUGUAUGAAGAAGGCCUUCGGGUUGUAAAGUACUUUCAGCGGGGAGGAAGGGGAUAAGGCUAAUAACCUUGUUCAUUGACGUUACCCGCAGAAGAAGCACCGGCUAACUCCGUGCCAGCAGCCGCGGUAAUACGGAGGGUGCAAGCGUUAAUCGGAAUUACUGGGCGUAAAGCGCACGCAGGCGGUCUGUCAAGUCGGAUGUGAAAUCCCCGGGCUCAACCUGGGAAC
RNAcentral lists this ribosomal RNA (620 nucleotides) under Salmonella enterica. RNAcentral describes it as "bacterial SSU rRNA". It matches the Rfam family "Bacterial small subunit ribosomal RNA", at positions 12 to 621 of the family's 1533-position model. The record is from RNAcentral. Lineage: Bacteria; Pseudomonadati; Pseudomonadota; Gammaproteobacteria; Enterobacterales; Enterobacteriaceae. RNAcentral also lists the same sequence under 1 other name.